RNAcentral lists this ribosomal RNA (384 nucleotides) under Triticum aestivum (bread wheat). RNAcentral describes it as "partial small subunit ribosomal RNA". Lineage: Eukaryota; Viridiplantae; Streptophyta; Magnoliopsida; Poales; Poaceae. The record is from RNAcentral.
AUGCCAGUUUCAAAUACAAACCUUCAUAAUGGAGAAAAGCCCAUCUCCGAAAUUACCGAUGCGGAACUCGCCGAAAAGCAUGGUCAUAUGAAGUUAGUAUGCUCACAGACAAGGUUCGGAAAAACCAUGAAACUGUUGUCACCAGACCAUAAAAACUACAUCACAUCAGAAACCAGUCUUGGCGGUCUAACCCAGAUGCAUGAAGUGACUCUACGGCGCAUAAUGCUGGUUAGACUAGCCAAGAGAAUAGAUAUGGACACGCAAUCCAUUACCAUCGGUAAAACGCCAAUUCCUAUAACAAAAGAGGACUUGCAGUGUAUGUUUGGCAUUCUGAUAGAAGGGGAGGAUAUAGAGCCACAUCUGGAAAUGCAAAUUGACACAUAA